Molecule: ribosomal RNA, 498 nt
Filed under: Triticum aestivum (bread wheat)
Lineage: Eukaryota; Viridiplantae; Streptophyta; Magnoliopsida; Poales; Poaceae
Description: partial small subunit ribosomal RNA
Source: RNAcentral
AUGGCGGCAUCAUGGCGCGAACAGAGAUUCGUGGCACCAUCGCGUCGGUGCGUCACGCCCACGCGCGCCUCGGAGCCGACGGGCCGCGCACGGCACGGCGCACCGCCGUACCGUCCCUCCCAUCCCGCCGCGCUGCGCACGCUGGGGCUGGCUGCCUCGUCCCGUGCCGACGUGCCGUGCCAGGAGGCCGGAGCAACGGGCUCGACGCGCUCCUGCCAGGCCCGGCCCCGAUCGUGGGUGCCACUGCUGAGACGGCGCCGUGAGUGGGAAUUUCGCUUGCGCUUAUCGCCUCGGGCUCGGGGCGGCCUGGCUGCCACGGUGAGGUUCCUGUACGUGCCGAGGGGAGGGAGACCCGUCGCUGUGCGCAACCACCGCACGACCGCUGCUGGUCCACGGGGUGGGCUGCACGAGCGCCUGGGGCCCGGCCGGCGACCGGGGCGCCCCGUCGCGAGGGGAUGCGCACGACACGCCACCGCGCGCGUCGUCUCACGGGAGUAA